UACGGGGGGAGCAAGCGUUGUUCGGAUUUACUGGGCGUAAAGGGCGCGUAGGCGGCGCGACAAGUCACUUGUGAAAUCUCCGGGCUUAACCCGGAGCGGCCAAGUGAUACUGUAGUGCUAGAGUGCGGAAGGGGCUACUGGAAUUCUCGGUGUAGCGGUGAAAUGCGUAGAUAUCGAGAGGAACACCUGCGGCGAAGGCGGGUUGCUGGGCUGAUACUGACGCUGAGGCGCGAAAGCUAGGGGAGCGAACGGG
RNAcentral lists this ribosomal RNA (253 nucleotides) under uncultured bacterium. Its description in RNAcentral is "partial 16S ribosomal RNA". It matches the Rfam family "Bacterial small subunit ribosomal RNA", at positions 524 to 776 of the family's 1533-position model. The record is from RNAcentral.